Long non-coding RNA from Nycticebus coucang (slow loris), 2696 nucleotides. RefSeq lists it as uncharacterized. NCBI's taxonomy places the organism in Eukaryota, Metazoa, Chordata, Mammalia, Primates, Lorisidae. The transcript has 3 exons. The record is from RefSeq and is a predicted model, not a curated record.
CUCUGCCCUGUGAGGACAUGGUGUCCAUCCUCUCUGGAGGAUGUUGCAACAAGGUGCCUUUUGGACACAGAAAUCAGCCCUCCCAGACCCCAGAUCUGCAGGUGCCUUUGUCCUGGUCCUCCCAGUCCCUGAAACAUGGGAGGCAAAUUUCUAUGGUUCAAGGUACUUUGUGGCAGCAGCAAAAACACCCUCUCCCUUCUGACUCUCGGUUGGAGAAUCUGCUGAUCCUGCGUGGAGCGGCCAAGCAGACUCCGUGGUCCGUGGAAGCUCAGCCCCUCGCGUGACGGGAUCAGGCGUGAAACACCUGCUCUGACCAGCAUGGGGUGUUCCCAUCUUCCAGCGAGGACUCUGACAAGGUGGUCUCUCUGGUGCCAAAACCAGAAAUAAUGAGACACAAAUAACAAUGCACAACUCAUGGGCUUAACGCUUGAGGUGGCCGUGCUUCUUCAUCUGUGAGGAGCCACUUGAGAGUCUCAUUUCCAUUCUUUGCUUUUGAGAAGAUGGGUGUGGGGUCGAAUUUGGAGCAGCUCAAAGGGGUGCUCUCGCCCCGCUCCCCGACCUGUGCCUGACCUCCUGACACUGGUCUCCUCUUGACUGGGGGAAGUGCCUGCCUCCACUGAUGUGAGCCUGGGGCCCUGAGUCCAUUGUGGGUCCUGCUGUCCAGCCCCUUCCCUGUACUGGCCUUGUCACCCCCAACACUGCUCCUCACCCAACACCAGCUUCUCCCCAUCCCGGGAGCAUGACGCUCGUGCAGGCACCUGGUGGGCCACAGGCCACAGGCGUGUGGCCAAGGGGGCCAGGAAAGAGAUGCAUGUGGGGGAGGCACAGCUCUGCUUACCAAGGCAGAAGCCGUGAGACCUCAGUGCUGUGGAAAGCCUGGAGAACCUCACUAGGCUUCCCAGGUUAAACCUGACCAUCUAAACCAAAGACCCAAGAUCAGUUGCCCAUUGCUGCGCCCCCCAAAGAGAGAUGCUGUUUCCACAAGCCUCCUGUGGCCACGCGGGUCCUGGAGACACAUGUCCAACCUCACAGUUCCCUGUGUCCGGCCAGCAGCCAUCAGGACCAUUCCUAGAGCCCCUGAGGAUGACCCACCAUCCUUCCCUGCAGUGGGGGGAGCUCAUCUGGCUUCCUUGUCUCAGCUUCUCUUUGUCAGACCCCACUGAAGGAGCUGGAAAGAUCUGGCUUUUUAAUUUUAGGAUCAAAGAAAUUUCCAGUCAUUCAUGGCAGAGAAUGGGAAGAAACGGGCUUUGAGAUAUUAGGGGACUCAGCCUUUGUGAAGCCGAGUGUGCACAGAUCCUCCUUGUACCAUGAGAGGAGCCAUCGGGGCUGUGUCUGAACUGCCAGGAUUUACCAAGUGCACACUGAGCGUGGUGUUCAAACGUCAGCUGGUCUGCUCCACGUGGUGGCGUGGACGGUGCUGUUGGGUGGUAGAGAACCCUAACUCUGGGUACUGAGAAGGAUCUGCGUCUCAUCAGUUACGAUGAUGUAACUGAGAGAGGUGGCUGGUAAGGAAAAGGCUGAGGGCUGCCACCUUCCGUUUGCCUUCUAAGUUUGAUAGAAUAAAAAAUAAAGGUUUCAAUACAUUAUCUAAAAUUGUAUGUAUUACAUAUCAUUAUAAUAUAAAUAUGAUGAAAAUUGGAGAAGUAUCACUUUUUUUUUUUUUUUUUUGAGACAGAGUCUCAUUAUGUUGCCCUGGGUAGAGUGCUGUGGCAUCACAGCUCACAGCCACCUCCAACUCUUGGGGUCAAGUGAUCCUCUUGCCUCAGCCUCCCGUAGCUGGGACUAUAAGUGCCUGCCACAACGCCCGGCUAUUUUUUGUUGCAGUUGUCAUUGUUGUUUAGCUGGCCUGGGCCGGGUUCGAACCUGCCAGGCUCGGUGUCUAUGGCUGGUGCCAUAACCACAGUGCUACGGGUGUUGAGGCAAGUAUCACAUUUUAAUGAAUCAAUAGAUAUUUUCUAGAAUUGAAAAUCUAGAGAAUUAAAAGUUUUAAGAUACACUAAAAGCAAGAAAUGUAAAAUCUGCGUGGGUGGAAACAAAUGAAGCCCUCCCAGCAACACUGAUGCCGAACGCCGUGAACCCUGGACGGCUGACUCAGAAAGGACCUAUAGUCUGUGUCUCUUGGAAGUGAAAUAACGGACUGGAGCACACUCUUUGUCAAAACUUUUGUACUGACCCAGGUAGAACCACUGUGUUUAGUGGUGAGUGUUUAGAAGAGGCUGCUUUUGGGAGUGGAGAGGCGGGCAGGGUGGCGGAGAUGGUUGCUUCUCAUUUAUUGGUUUUCCCUUAUUUGAAUCUUUAUCAAAUCUACCCUGUUCGUAAGUACAUGUUUCUGCAUUAACGCUUCUCACAGUGACUAAAACAUGGUCUCUGUUUCAUAAGUGGAAAGCACUUUCCAUGAGCUAAUUGCUGUGAAUGAGUUGGUAUCCCACCUAAAAUAAGGUGGGGUGGGGGGACAGGGGUCAUGUUUCAUCUCAGAAUAGGUUGCAUUUUGUACCUAGAACAGGAUGCACCCUCUCGGAGUUCCCUGGCAUUCGCUUGAGUAACUGAACUAGAAUGAGAGUGAAUAGCACAUCCACUUUAGGUAAAUGAACAUGGACAUGAACAUUUAAAAAUACUUCUAUUAGCAAUUUUGCACAUUUCUUCCUCAUCUUUUAAAAAUCUAUAUGUUUAUUAAAUCUUCCAUUUACAAUGGAAAA